CACGCUGUAAACGAUGAGUGCUAGAUGUUGGGGGUCACACCUCGGUAUCGCCGUUAACACAUUAAGCACUCCGCCUGGGGAGUACGUGCGCAAGCAUGAAACUCAAAGGAAUUGACGGGGGCCCGCACAAGCGGUGGAGCAUGUGGUUUAAUUCGAAGCAACGCGAAGAACCUUACCAGGCCUUGACAUCCCCUGACCGUCAUGGAAACAUGGCUUCUCUUCGGAGCAGGGAGACAGGUGG
RNAcentral lists this ribosomal RNA (241 nucleotides) under uncultured Bacillota bacterium. RNAcentral describes it as "uncultured Firmicutes bacterium partial 16S ribosomal RNA". It matches the Rfam family "Bacterial small subunit ribosomal RNA", at positions 796 to 1041 of the family's 1533-position model. Lineage: Bacteria; Bacillati; Bacillota. The record is from RNAcentral.